This 253-nucleotide ribosomal RNA is filed under the name uncultured bacterium. Its description in RNAcentral is "partial 16S ribosomal RNA". It matches the Rfam family "Bacterial small subunit ribosomal RNA", at positions 524 to 776 of the family's 1533-position model. The record is from RNAcentral.
UACAUAGGUGGCAAGCGUUGUCCGGAUUUACUGGGCGUAAAGAGCGCGCAGGCGGUCGUUCAAGUCGCGUGUGAAAGCCCCCGGCUCAACUGGGGAGGGUCACGCGAUACUGAUCGACUCGAAGGCAGGAGAGGGUAGUGGAAUUCCCGGUGUAGUGGUGAAAUGCGUAGAUAUCGGGAGGAACACCAGUGGCGAAGGCGACUACCUGGCCUGUUCUUGACGCUGAGGCGCGAAAGCUAGGGGAGCAAACGGG